RNAcentral lists this ribosomal RNA (617 nucleotides) under uncultured bacterium. Its description in RNAcentral is "bacterial SSU rRNA". It matches the Rfam family "Bacterial small subunit ribosomal RNA", at positions 571 to 1191 of the family's 1533-position model. The record is from RNAcentral.
GUAGGCGGACCCUUAAGUCAGUGGUGAAAGUUUGCGGCUCAACCGUAAAAUUGCCAUUGAAACUGAGGGUCUUGAGUGUAAAUGAGGUAGGCGGAAUGUGUUGUGUAGCGGUGAAAUGCUUAGAUAUAACACAGAACACCAAUUGCGAAGGCAGCUUACUGGGAUACAACUGACGCUGAGGCACGAAAGCGUGGGGAUCAAACAGGAUUAGAUACCCUGGUAGUCCACGCAGUAAACGAUGAAUACUAACUGUAUGCGAUAUAUUGUAUGCGGUACAGCGAAAGCGUUAAGUAUUCCACCUGGGGAGUACGUUCGCAAGAAUGAAACUCAAAGGAAUUGACGGGGGCCCGCACAAGCGGAGGAACAUGUGGUUUAAUUCGAUGAUACGCGAGGAACCUUACCCGGGCUUGAAAUGCAGAGGAAUGACUUGGAAACAAGUCCGCCAGCAAUGGUCUCUGUGUAGGUGCUGCAUGGUUGUCGUCAGCUCGUGCCGUGAGGUGUCGGCUUAAGUGCCAUAACGAGCGCAACCCUUAUCAUUAGUUACUAACAGGUCGUGCUGAGGACUCUAAUGAGACUGCCACCGUAAGGUGUGAGGAAGGUGGGGAUGACGUCAAAUC